UGUAUUAAAAUUCAAGUAGUUCGGCAUCAAAUUACAAUGAGUUGCUUGCAAGUCACUAUGGUGAUCUCAGGUCUGAAGGAUAUUUAUACCCAUGUGUUUCACAAGCAGCUCUUGAUAGUAAAAUGCUCAGCAGGUGAUCACUUGUUCAGUGAUGAUGUACCCUUAUAUCUCACCUGUAUGCCAUACUAGUAUCACCUCACUCCUUGGUUAAGAGGACAACCAACCC
Molecule: long non-coding RNA, 226 nt
Filed under: Elaeis guineensis (African oil palm)
Lineage: Eukaryota; Viridiplantae; Streptophyta; Magnoliopsida; Arecales; Arecaceae
Description: long non-coding RNA (EGUI_LNC052164)
Source: RNAcentral